AGCGAACGUUAGCGGCGGGCCUAACACAUGCAAGUCGAGCGAGAAAGGGGGUUCGCCCCCGAGUACAGCGGCGGACGGGUGAGUAACACGUAGGUAAUUUUCCCUUGAGCGGGGGACAACGUUCCGAAAGGGACGCUAAUACCGCAUAAGUUCUUGGGUGCUUCGGCACUGGAGAGGAAAGCUAGGCCGCAAGGUCUGGCACUCGAGGAGAAGCCUGCGUCGCAUCAGCUAGUUGGUGGGGUAAUGGCCUACCAAGGCAAAGACGCGUAGCUGGUCUGAGAGGAUGAUCAGCCACACUGGGACUGAGACACGGCCCAGACUCCUACGGGAGGCAGCAGUGGGGAAUAUUGGGCAAUGGGCGAAAGCCUGAUCCAGCAAUGCCGCGUGAGUGAUGAAGGCCUUAGGGUUGUAAAGCUCUUUUACCCGGGAUGAUAAUGACAGUACCGGGAGAAUAAGCCCGGCUAACUCCGUGCCAGCAGCCGCGGUAAU
RNAcentral lists this ribosomal RNA (489 nucleotides) under uncultured bacterium. Its description in RNAcentral is "bacterial SSU rRNA". It matches the Rfam family "Bacterial small subunit ribosomal RNA", at positions 29 to 524 of the family's 1533-position model. The record is from RNAcentral.